AAGAGCAAAAAAUAGAAGAGCAAAAAAAAGUAGUAAAAGAAAAAAGGAACAGCUAUUUUACAAUUAAAAAAAUGAAACGAGAUAAUUUAUUAUAUUUAUUUUUUAAAAACAUAAAAACAAAUCCAAUAAUAUAUAACUGUGAAAAUAUGAAAAAUGUAAAUACUUUUAUGAAUAAUAAGUAUAUUAUAUAUACUCAAGAAAAUAAAAUUAUUAUUUUAAAACUUGUUUUAUCAAAAGAUAACCGAAAUAUUGUUAAUAAUAAAAAUAGUUUUAUACAACAUUUUAUAGAAAAUUUAAAAAAUAAUAAAGAACAAUGUUAUAAUAGUAGUGAUAAUAAAAAGUUGAUAUUUGCAGAUGUGUUUAAUGAAUUAAUAAAAAAAGGUAUUAUAAUGCAAAAAAAAAUAUAUAAAAAAAAAAAAAAAAAAUUAAAAGCAAAAAAUAUCAAACAGUCCGAACAAACGGAUACAAAUUAUGAUAAAAUAUCAAAUUAUAUAUUUGAACAUUUAUUUGAUUCAAAUGAAAAAGAUUUUUUACAUCAACUGAAAUAUAAAAUUGUUAAGCAUUAUGUUUAUAAACAAACUAUGGAAGAUAUAAAAACUAUCAAUGUUUUUGAUAAUAAAGUAUUAGCUAUUACUAGUAGUUACAUAUAUUUAUAUGAAUAUAAUGAAACAUGUAAUAGGUUUAUUUUAUUAUACUCUAAUAUAUUAUUUAAUGUAAGUAAUAACGAUCAUAUUACUACUACAUGUGAAGAUAUACAUAAUAGUAUAUAUCCAAACAAACGUAAUAAGAACAAUCGUAAAAAUAAUCUUACUUAUAAUAACAAUAAUAAUAAUAAUAAUAGUAGUAGUAGUAGUAGUAGUAGUAUUACUCGAAGUGAUAAUAAAUACAAACAAGCAUUUACAUUUUGUAAUCUUUUAAAUAAUAUAAAUAUAAUUUCUAAAAAAUAUAUAGAUAUAUAUUAUUUAAUGCCAACUAAUAUAUUUACCCAUAUAGGUAAAUUAAAAAUAAAUAAUGAAAUAAAAUUUUUAUUUGAAAAUAAUUUAUUUACAAAUAUAAUGGGAUUUAAUCUGAAUAUAUGUAAAAAUGAAAAUAUAAUAGAAAGUUUAAGAAAAUAUCAACAAGUUUAUAAUAAUUAUAUGUUAGUAGAUAAAAAAGAUAAUAUAUUUAAUAUAUAUAGUAUGACAUUAACUGACCAUAAAGACACAUAUUAUUUUUAUGAUCAUAUUAGACAUAUAGAAAUCUGUUAUGAUCUUAUGUUGUUUUUUCAACUAUUAAUUGAAGGAAAAAAAAAUAAUCAAAUCAGUAAACAAAAAAUGAACAAAGUGAGUAAAUGUAACUUAUCGCCAUUUCAUUCCAAAUAUGGAGAAAAAAAAAAAAAAACAUGCAUAAAACAAAAGCAACAAGGGAUAAAACAAAAACAACAAGGGAUAAAACAAAAACAACANNNNNNNNNNCAACAAGGGAUAAAACAAAAACAACAAGGGAUAAAACAAAAACAACAAGGGAUAAAACAAAAAAGCAUAAAAAAAAAGCGCAAAGACAUAAGAAUAUACUCAAACAAAAAUACAAACAAUUGUUAAAUAUGUUUCUUUAUCGAGUAUUAAUUUACAUAAAUAAAAAAAUUAUUUUUAUAAGAAAAACA
Piliocolobus tephrosceles (Ugandan red Colobus) is the source of this 1642-nucleotide long non-coding RNA. NCBI's taxonomy places the organism in Eukaryota, Metazoa, Chordata, Mammalia, Primates, Cercopithecidae. The record is from Ensembl.